UAACAUCAACCAGUGGUUAUGGCGUGUGACUCAAGCGAAAGCUUUCCAGUGUAAACUGGCGCAUUCUCAUGGGCUUUGCCCGCGUGGGUUCGAAUCCCACACUUGUCAA
RNAcentral lists this transfer RNA (109 nucleotides) under Ampelomyces quisqualis. RNAcentral describes it as "tRNA-Leu". Lineage: Eukaryota; Fungi; Ascomycota; Dothideomycetes; Pleosporales; Phaeosphaeriaceae. The record is from RNAcentral.